This 210-nucleotide unclassified non-coding RNA is filed under the name soil metagenome. RNAcentral describes it as "partial contains 5.8S ribosomal RNA, internal transcribed spacer 2, and large subunit ribosomal RNA". The record is from RNAcentral.
AAGACUAUAGACCUGCGGAGUACCUGCGGAAGGAUCAUUACUGAGUUAGGGUCUUUCUGGCCCGACCUCCAACCCUGUGUUUAUUAUACCAUGUUGCUUUGGCGGGCCUGCCCACCCGUGCCCGCCAGGAGCCUUCCUUAAAUUCUGUGUUUAAUUGUGCUGUCUGAGUCCCAGUAACAAAAUAUUAAAAACUUUCAACAACGGAUCUCU